Molecule: transfer-messenger RNA, 363 nt
Filed under: Burkholderiales bacterium
Lineage: Bacteria; Pseudomonadati; Pseudomonadota; Betaproteobacteria; Burkholderiales
Rfam family: transfer-messenger RNA
About the family: Bacterial tmRNA, also known as 10Sa RNA or SsrA, is named for its dual tRNA and mRNA-like properties. Its role is to liberate the mRNA from a stalled ribosome.
Source: RNAcentral
GGGGCCGACCUGGUUUCGACGUGGGCUACAAAGCAGAACCGUGCAUACCGAGGGGUGGUCACCUCGUAAAUACAACCGCAAACCAAUAGUCGCAAACGACGAAAACUACGCUCUAGCUGCUUAAACCCAGCUGGACUCUGCACCGGUGGGCCUCAACGCCGGGUGUAGCAAUACACAGCAGAGUCAUUAACGAGGAUCGCUUCAUGUCGGGUCACUUGGCACGAAGUUAAAUUUAGGUGGCUCGCUCCUCACCAGCCUGCCCGUUGGCGUGUGAGAGGUCAGAAUCAAAUACCGGGAUCUAAGUAUGUAGAGCGGCCUGUAGAGGGCUUGCGGACGCGGGUUCGAUUCCCGCCGGCUCCACCA